GCAUUUAGAGUGUAACUGGGAAGCACAUCCGACUGAUAAUCGGGAAUUUCGGAGUUCGAAUCUCGGCAAGAGUA
RNAcentral lists this transfer RNA (74 nucleotides) under Stegodyphus mimosarum. It matches the Rfam family "tRNA". Rfam says of the family: Transfer RNA (tRNA) molecules are approximately 80 nucleotides in length. Their secondary structure includes four short double-helical elements and three loops (D, anti-codon, and T loops). The record is from Rfam by way of RNAcentral. Lineage: Eukaryota; Metazoa; Arthropoda; Arachnida; Araneae; Eresidae.